RNAcentral lists this ribosomal RNA (371 nucleotides) under uncultured bacterium. RNAcentral describes it as "bacterial SSU rRNA". It matches the Rfam family "Bacterial small subunit ribosomal RNA", at positions 527 to 896 of the family's 1533-position model. The record is from RNAcentral.
GGGGGGUGCAAGCGUUGUUCGGAAUUAUUGGGCGUAAAGCGCGUGUAGGCGGUUUGAUUAGUCUGAUGUGAAAGCCCUGGGCUCAACCCAGGAAGUGCAUUGGAUACUGUCAGACUUGAAUACGGGAGAGGGUAGUGGAAUUCCUAGUGUAGAAGUGAAAUCCGUAGAUAUUAGGAGGAACACCGGUGGCGAAGGCGGCUACCUGGACCGAUAUUGACGCUGAGACGCGAAAGCGUGGGUAGCAAACAGGAUUAGAUACCCUGGUAGUCCACGCCGUAAACGAUGAGAACUAGGUGUUGCGGGUAUUGACCCCUGCAGUGCCGCAGCUAACGCAUUAAGUUCUCCGCCUGGGAAGUACGGUCGCAAGACUA